GACGAACGCUGGCGGCGUGCCUAAUACAUGCAAGUCGAACGCUUCUUUCCUCCCGAGUGCUUGCACUCAAUUGGAAAGAGGAGUGGCGGACGGGUGAGUAACACGUGGGUAACCUACCCAUCAGAGGGGGAUAACACUUGGAAACAGGUGCUAAUACCGCAUAACAGUUUAUGCCGCAUGGCAUAAGAGUGAAAGGCGCUAUCGGGUGUCGCUGAUGGAUGGACCCGCGGUGCAUUAGCUAGUUGGUGAGGUAACGGCUCACCAAGGCCACGAUGCAUAGCCGACCUGAUAGGGUGAUUGGCCAUACUGGGACUUAGACACGGCCCAGACUCCUACGGUAGGCAGCAGUAGGGAAUUUUCGGCAAUGGACGAAAGUCUGACCGAGCAACGCCGCGUGAGUGAAGAAGGUUUUCGGAUCGUAAAACUCUGUUGUUAGAGAAGAACAAGGACGUUAGUAACUGAACGUCCCCUGACGGUAUCUAACCAGAAAGCCACGGCUAACUACGUG
This 508-nucleotide ribosomal RNA is filed under the name uncultured bacterium. RNAcentral describes it as "partial 16S ribosomal RNA". It matches the Rfam family "Bacterial small subunit ribosomal RNA", at positions 28 to 507 of the family's 1533-position model. The record is from RNAcentral.